Molecule: long non-coding RNA, 606 nt
Organism: Lycium barbarum (goji berry)
Lineage: Eukaryota; Viridiplantae; Streptophyta; Magnoliopsida; Solanales; Solanaceae
Exons: 4
Source: RefSeq, a predicted model, not a curated record
GAACAAUUCAACUUGCUUGGAGAAAGUAUAAGAAUGGGUUGAAGAAGAAACACUACUAUCGCUAUGCCAAUGACGAAAUUCGAAUGGCAAAAAGGCCUAAAGAAGUUUCAGAAUCUCAAUUUAAGGCUCUCCUCGAAUAUUGGAACUCCGAUGCGGCUCAAGACAUGUCCAGAAAAAAUACAGAGAAUCGAAAAAAGUUGAGGUAUCCACACACUGUUGGCAAAACAAGUUUUGCUAUAAUCCACGAGAAAAAAAAAGAAGGAAAAUCCUGAAGCUUUGUCUAGUAAGGAGUUUUUUGUGGCUACUAGAAGAAGGAAACCAGGCCGAGUAUACAAGGACUCAUAUGAAGAUACGGCUAGCAAAAUAGCUGAAAUGGAGAGAAUAGAAACUCAAGAAAGUGAAGAUGGCAGUCAAUCAGUUGACGCAUAUGUAUCAGUAAUGGGACCUGAUCAUCCAGGUCGAGUAAGAUUGUAUGGACGUGGGGUUACCAAGACUCUCUUGAAACAGAAAGCGGCGGAUACUGGACUCUCUUCAAAUGUUACUGAUGAAAUGGAGAAAAAAAUGGAGGAGAUAGAAGAGAGGAUGAAACAAAGAAUGCAGGAAAAA